RNAcentral lists this ribosomal RNA (465 nucleotides) under uncultured Pseudoxanthomonas sp. Its description in RNAcentral is "bacterial SSU rRNA". It matches the Rfam family "Bacterial small subunit ribosomal RNA", at positions 338 to 795 of the family's 1533-position model. The record is from RNAcentral. Lineage: Bacteria; Pseudomonadati; Pseudomonadota; Gammaproteobacteria; Lysobacterales; Lysobacteraceae.
CCUACGGGGGGCUGCAGUGGGGAAUAUUGGACAAUGGGCGCAAGCCUGAUCCAGCCAUACCGCGUGAGUGAAGAAGGCCCUCGGGUUGUAAAGCUCUUUUGUUGGGAAAGAAAUCCUGUUGGUUAAUACCUGGCAGGGAUGACGGUACCCAAAGAAUAAGCACCGGCUAACUUCGUGCCAGCAGCCGCGGUAAUACGAAGGGUGCAAGCGUUACUCGGAAUUACUGGGCGUAAAGCGUGCGUAGGUGGUUGUUUAAGUCUGUCGUGAAAGCCCUGGGCUCAACCUGGGAAUUGCGAUGGAUACUGGGCGACUAGAAUGUGGUAGAGGGUGGCGGAAUUCCCGGUGUAGCAGUGAAAUGCGUAGAGAUCGGGAGGAACAUCCGUGGCGAAGGCGGCCACCUGGACCAACAUUGACACUGAGGCACGAAAGCGUGGGGAGCAAACAGGAUUAGAUACCCCAGUAGUC